This 462-nucleotide ribosomal RNA is filed under the name uncultured bacterium. RNAcentral's name for it is "partial 16S ribosomal RNA". It matches the Rfam family "Bacterial small subunit ribosomal RNA", at positions 28 to 507 of the family's 1533-position model. The record is from RNAcentral.
GACGAACGCUGGCGGCGUGCUUAACACAUGCAAGUCGAGCGGUAAGGCCUUUCGGGGUCCCCGAGCGGCGAACGGGUGAGUAACACGUGGGUGAUCUGCCCUGCACUUCGGGAUAAGCCUGGGAAACUGGGUCUAAUACCGGAUAUGACCUCCUAUCGCAUGGUGGGUGGUGGAAAGAUUUAUCGGUGCAGGAUGGGCCCGCGGCCUAUCAGCUUGUUGGUGGGGUAAUGGCCUACCAAGGCGACGACGGGUAGCCGACCUGAGAGGGUGACCGGCCACACUGGGGCUGAGACACGGCCCAGACUCCUACGGGAGGCAGCAGUGGGGAAUAUUGCACAAUGGGCGAAAGCCUGAUGCAGCGACGCCGCGUGAGGGAUGACGGCCUUCGGGUUGUAAACCUCUUUCAGCAGGGACGAAGCGCAAGUGACGGUACCUGCAGAAGAAGCACCGGCUAACUACGUG